Molecule: transfer RNA, 65 nt
Filed under: Timarete posteria
Lineage: Eukaryota; Metazoa; Annelida; Polychaeta; Terebellida; Cirratulidae
Description: tRNA-Tyr
Rfam family: tRNA
About the family: Transfer RNA (tRNA) molecules are approximately 80 nucleotides in length. Their secondary structure includes four short double-helical elements and three loops (D, anti-codon, and T loops).
Source: RNAcentral
AGUAAGGUGGCUGAAAAAAGCAGUAGACUGUAAAUCUUCCUAUGGAUUAAAACUUCCCCUUACUA